UACGUAGGGGACGAGCGUUGUCCGGAAUUAUUGGGCGUAAAGAGCGCGUAGGCGGCUCUGCAAGUCCUGCGUGAAAUCUCGAGGCUCAACCUCGAGCGGUCGUGGGAAACUGGUGGGCUAGAGUGCGGGAGAGGGAAGUGGAAUUCCAGGUGUAGCGGUGAAAUGCGCAGAUAUCAGGAGGAACACCGGUGGCGAAGGCGGGUCUCUGGGCAACAACUGACGCUGAGGAGCGAAAGCGUGGGGAGCGAACAGG
Molecule: ribosomal RNA, 253 nt
Filed under: uncultured bacterium
Lineage: Bacteria
Description: partial 16S ribosomal RNA
Rfam family: Bacterial small subunit ribosomal RNA
Source: RNAcentral